UACGAAGGGGGCUAGCGUUGCUCGGAAUCACUGGGCGUAAAGCGCACGUAGGCGGCUUCUUAAGUCAGGGGUGAAAUCCUGGAGCUCAACUCCAGAACUGCCUUUGAUACUGGGAGGCUCGAGUCCGGGAGAGGUGUGUGGAACUGCGAGUGUAGAGGUGAAAUUCGUAGAUAUUCGCAAGAACACCAGUGGCGAAGGCGGCUCACUGGCCCGGUACUGACGCUGAGGUGCGAAAGCGUGAGGAGCAAACAGG
RNAcentral lists this ribosomal RNA (253 nucleotides) under uncultured bacterium. RNAcentral describes it as "partial 16S ribosomal RNA". It matches the Rfam family "Bacterial small subunit ribosomal RNA", at positions 524 to 776 of the family's 1533-position model. The record is from RNAcentral.